AAGACUAUAUUUUUUGGGAUCAUUUCUAUAGUUCAUUACUAGAGAGUUUCUCUGAUUGUGUAGAAUACACGAAACCAUGAGGACAAAACUUAUUGUCCCCUCCUAAGUGUGAAGCUGCCUCUAAGUGCUGUUUCUGUGUAGCUGACUUUUGACAUUGAUCAUCGUUCUUCUCUCCUUUGGGAGCAUGAGGGGAGGAAGGCAGUCUGUGGA
Molecule: small nucleolar RNA, 210 nt
Organism: Rattus rattus (black rat)
Lineage: Eukaryota; Metazoa; Chordata; Mammalia; Rodentia; Muridae
Product: small nucleolar RNA U3
Exons: 1
Source: RefSeq, a predicted model, not a curated record